UCGGCUUAGAGUUUGAUCAUGGCUCAGAGUGAACGCUGGCGGUAGGCCUAACACAUGCAAGUCGAACGGCAAGAGAGCUUGCUCUCUGCGAGUGGCGGACGGGUGAGGAAUACAUCGGAAUCUACCUUUUCGUGGGGGAUAACGUAGGGAAACUUACGCUAAUACCGCAUACGACCUUCGGGUGAAAGUGGAUCGUCACGCGGAUAGAUGAGCCGAUGUCGGAUUAGCUAGUUGGCGGGGUAAAGGCCCACCAAGGCGACGAUCCGUAGCUGGUCUGAGAGGAUGAUCAGCCACACUGGAACUGAGACACGGUCCAGACUCCUACGGGAGGCAGCAGUGGGGAAUAUUGGACAAUGGGCGCAAGCCUGAUCCAGCCAUACCGCGUGGGUGAAGAAGGCCUUCGGGUUGUAAAGCCCUUUUGUUGGGAAAGAAAAGCCAUGGGUAAUCCUGUGGUCUGACGGUACCCAAAGAAUAAGCACCGGCUAACUUCGUGUCAGCAGCCGCGGUAAUACGAAGGGUGCAAGCGUUACUCGGAAUUACUGGGCGUAAAGCGUGCGUAGGUGGUGGUUUAAGUCUGCUGUGAAAGCCCUGGGCUCAACCUGGGAAUUGCAGUGGAUACUGGAUCACUAGAGUGCGGUAGAGGGUAGUGGAAUUUCCGGUGUAGCAGUGAAAUGCGUAGAGAUCGGAAGGAACAUCAGUGGCGAAGGCGACUACCUGGGCAACACUGACACUGAGCA
This 737-nucleotide ribosomal RNA is filed under the name uncultured Lysobacteraceae bacterium. RNAcentral describes it as "bacterial SSU rRNA". It matches the Rfam family "Bacterial small subunit ribosomal RNA", at positions 1 to 753 of the family's 1533-position model. Lineage: Bacteria; Pseudomonadati; Pseudomonadota; Gammaproteobacteria; Lysobacterales; Lysobacteraceae. The record is from RNAcentral.